This 443-nucleotide ribosomal RNA is filed under the name uncultured bacterium. RNAcentral's name for it is "partial 16S ribosomal RNA". It matches the Rfam family "Bacterial small subunit ribosomal RNA", at positions 338 to 795 of the family's 1533-position model. The record is from RNAcentral.
CCUACGGGAGGCAGCAGUGGGGAAUAUUGGGCAAUGUGCGCAAGCCUGACCCAGCAACGCCGCGUGAAGGAAGAAGGCCUUCGGGGUGUAAACCUCUUUUUUUAGGGACGAAGAAAGUGACGGUACUCGAGGUAUAAGCCUCGGCUAACUACGUGCCAGCAGCCGCGGUAAUACGUAGGCGGCAAGCGUUAUCCGGAUUUAUUGGGUGUAAAGGGCGGGUGGGCGGGAGCGCAAGUCAGAUGGGAAAACUCAGGGCUCAACCCUGAGCCUGCAUUUGAAACUGUGUUACUUGAGUGCUGGAGAGGCAAUCGGAAUUCCGUGUGUAGCGGUGAAAUGCUUAGAUAUACGGAGGAACACCAGUGGCGAAGGCAGAUUACUGGACAGUAACUGACGCUGAGGCGCGAAAGCGUGGGGAGCAAACAGGAUUAGAUACCCGAGUAGUC